GUCAUGUAACAAAUGCAUAUCACAAACAACAACAUCUUAUGAAGAUUGAUAUUUUUUUUAUGAAAAACUCUUGUAUUGAAAUGAUGCCACAACAUCAUUAGGACAUAGCUCGUUUCUGUCAAGAAAAGGUACCAGUUUAAAAUGGAUUCUUUUAACCAAAGACAGGUCCACAUUUCUUCUUUUCUGUUCAUACAGGAAAAACUGGUACCGAUGGUGUUGCUUCUUUGGAAAAUAAAUAGAAAUAAAGCAAAGCAUUGCAAUUUGUGACCAUUUAAGAGAAGUUAAUCAGUAAGUUGAACUAUUUCAUUUAUUGUUCAAAUUGCCUUUUGUUUUAUAUCAUGU
This 342-nucleotide long non-coding RNA is filed under the name Mytilus galloprovincialis (Mediterranean mussel). The record is from RNAcentral. Lineage: Eukaryota; Metazoa; Mollusca; Bivalvia; Mytilida; Mytilidae.